GCACCUGGACCCUGCUCAGAGGACCCUGUAUAGGGACGUGAUGCUGGAGAACUACAGUCACCUUGUCUCAGUGGGGUAUUGUGUUCCUGAACCAGAAGUGAUCCUCAAGUUGGAACAAGGAGAGGAACCCUGGGUAUUAGAGGAAGAAUUUUCAAGCCAGAGCUACCCAG
This 170-nucleotide long non-coding RNA is filed under the name Sus scrofa (pig). RNAcentral describes it as "lncRNA (ENSSSCG00050038555.1)". Lineage: Eukaryota; Metazoa; Chordata; Mammalia; Artiodactyla; Suidae. The record is from RNAcentral.